RNAcentral lists this ribosomal RNA (253 nucleotides) under uncultured bacterium. RNAcentral's name for it is "partial 16S ribosomal RNA". It matches the Rfam family "Bacterial small subunit ribosomal RNA", at positions 524 to 776 of the family's 1533-position model. The record is from RNAcentral.
UACGUAGGGUGCAAGCGUUAUCCGGAAUUAUUGGGCGUAAAGAGCUCGUAGGCAGUUUGUCGCGUCUGCUGUGAAAACUGGAGGCUCAACCUCCAGCCUGCAGUGGGUACGGGCAGACUAGAGUGCGGUAGGGGAGAUUGGAAUUCCUGGUGUAGCGGUGGAAUGCGCAGAUAUCAGGAGGAACACCGAUGGCGAAGGCAGGUCUCUGGGCCACUACUGACGCUGAGAAGCGAAAGCAUGGGGAGCGAACAGG